This 433-nucleotide ribosomal RNA is filed under the name uncultured bacterium. RNAcentral's name for it is "partial 16S ribosomal RNA". It matches the Rfam family "Bacterial small subunit ribosomal RNA", at positions 29 to 507 of the family's 1533-position model. The record is from RNAcentral.
AACGAACGCUGGCGGCAUGCCUAACACAUGCAAGUCGAACGAGACCUUCGGGUCUAGUUGCGCACGGGUGCGUAACGCGGGGGAACCUGCCCUUAGGUUCGGAAUAACUCCCCGAGAGGUGUGCUAAUACCGGUUAAUGUCUUCGGACCAACGAGUUAUCGCCUUUGGGUGGGGGCGCGUUGGCUUAGCUGGUUGGUAGUGUACAAGCAUACCAAGGCGAGGAUGCAGAGCUGGUCGGAUAGGAGGCUACGUAACACUGGGGCUGCGACACGGCCCCGACGCCUACGGGACGGAGCAGUGGGGAAUAUAGGGGGAUGGGGCAAAGCCUGAUAAAGCCAUGCGGCGGGAGUGAUGAAGGCGUUAGGGUUGUACAGCCCCUUUAGCCGGGACGAUAAUGACAGUACCGGGAGAAUAAGCACCGGCUAACUCCGUG